UACAGAGGUCUCAAGCGUUGUUCGGAUUCCUUGGGCGUUAAUGGCGCGUAGGCGGCGUGGUAAGUCGGGUGUGAAAUCUCAGGGCUCAACCCUGAAACUGCACUCGAUACUGCUCUGCUUGAGGACUGGAGAGGAGACUGGAAUUCACGGUGUAGCAGUGAAAUGCGUAGAUAUCGUGAGGAAGACCAGUGGCGAAGGCGGGUCUCUGGACAGUUCCUGACGCUGAGGCGCGAAGGCCAGGGGAGCAAACGGG
Molecule: ribosomal RNA, 253 nt
Filed under: uncultured bacterium
Lineage: Bacteria
Description: partial 16S ribosomal RNA
Rfam family: Bacterial small subunit ribosomal RNA
Source: RNAcentral